RNAcentral lists this ribosomal RNA (484 nucleotides) under uncultured bacterium. RNAcentral describes it as "partial 16S ribosomal RNA". It matches the Rfam family "Bacterial small subunit ribosomal RNA", at positions 30 to 507 of the family's 1533-position model. The record is from RNAcentral.
AUUGAACGCUGGCGGCAGGCCUAACACAUGCAAGUCGAGCGGAUGAAGGGAGCUUGCUCCUGGAUUCAGCGGCGGACGGGUGAGUAAUGCCUAGGAAUCUGCCUGGUAGUGGGGGAUAACGUCCGGAAACGGGCGCUAAUACCGCAUACUUCCUGAGGGAGAAAGUGGGGGAUCUUCGGACCUCACGCUCUCAGAUGAGCCUAGGUCGGAUUAGCUAGUUGGUGGGGUAAAGGCCUACCAAGCCGACGAUCCGUAACUGGUCUGAGAGGAUGAUAAGUCACAUGGGAACUGAGACACGGUCAAGAGGCCUAAGGGAGGCAGCAGUGGGGAAUAGGGGACAAUGGGCGAAAGUAUGAUACAGUCAUGCCGAGUGUGUGAAGAAGGUCUUCGGAGUGGAAAGCACGUUAAGUUGGGAGGAAGGGCAGUAAGUUAAUACCUUGCUGGUUUGACGUUACCAACAGAAUAAGCACCGGCUAACUUCGUG